CACUAUUGGAGCGGCCGAUAUCGGAUUAGCUAGUUGGUGGGGUAACGGCUCACCAAGGCGACAAUCCGUAGCUGGUUUGAGAGGACGACCAGCCACACUGGGACUGAGACACGGCCCAAACUCCUACGGGAGGCAGCAGGGGGGAAUUUUGGACAAUGGGGGCAACCCUGAUCCAGCCAUCCCGCGUGUGCGAUGAAGGCCUUCGGGUUGUAAAGCACUUUUG
RNAcentral lists this ribosomal RNA (223 nucleotides) under Streptomyces sp. Its description in RNAcentral is "partial 16S ribosomal RNA". It matches the Rfam family "Bacterial small subunit ribosomal RNA", at positions 216 to 438 of the family's 1533-position model. Lineage: Bacteria; Bacillati; Actinomycetota; Actinomycetes; Kitasatosporales; Streptomycetaceae. The record is from RNAcentral.